GUGGGGAAUAUUGCACAAUGGGGGAAACCCUGAUGCAGCGACGCCGCGUGAGUGAAGAAGUAUUUCGGUACGUAAAGCUCUAUCAGCAAGGAAGAAAAUGACGGUACUUGACUAAGAAGCCCCGGCUAACUACGUGCCAGCAGCCGCGGUAAUACGUAGGGGGCAAGCGUUAUCCGGAGUUACUGGGUGUAAAGGGAGCGUAGACGGUAUGGUAAGUCAGAUGUGAAAGCCCGGGGCUCAACCCCGAGACUGCAUUUGAAACUAUCAGACUAGAGUGCAGGAGAGGUAAGUGGAAUUCCUAGUGUAGCGGUGAAAUGCGUAGAUAUUAGGAGGAACACCAGUGGCGAAGGCGGCUUACUGGACUGUAACUGACGUUGAGGCUCGAAAGCGUGGGGAGCAAACAGGAUUAGAUACCCUAGUAGUCC
RNAcentral lists this ribosomal RNA (425 nucleotides) under uncultured bacterium. RNAcentral's name for it is "partial 16S ribosomal RNA". It matches the Rfam family "Bacterial small subunit ribosomal RNA", at positions 354 to 796 of the family's 1533-position model. The record is from RNAcentral.